RNAcentral lists this ribosomal RNA (870 nucleotides) under Fusarium tricinctum. RNAcentral's name for it is "partial large subunit ribosomal RNA". It matches the Rfam family "Eukaryotic large subunit ribosomal RNA", at positions 69 to 966 of the family's 3401-position model. Lineage: Eukaryota; Fungi; Ascomycota; Sordariomycetes; Hypocreales; Nectriaceae. The record is from RNAcentral.
CAGGGAUUGCCCUAGUACCGGCGAGUGAAGCGGCAACAGCUCAAAUUUGAAAUCCUGGCUUUCGGGCCCGAGUUGUAAUUUGUAGAGGAUACUUUUGAUGCGGUGCCUUCCGAGUUCCCUGGAACGGGACGCCAUAGAGGGUGAGAGCCCCGUCUGGUUGGAUGCCAAAUCUCUGUAAAGUUCCUUCGACGAGUCGAGUAGUUUGGGAAUGCUGCUCUAAAUGGGAGGUAUAUGUCUUCUAAAGCUAAAUAUUGGCCAGAGACCGAUAGCGCACAAGUAGAGUGAUCGAAAGAUGAAAAGCACUUUGAAAAGAGAGUUAAAAAGUACGUGAAAUUGUUGAAAGGGAAGCGUUUAUGACCAGACUUGGACUUGGUUAAUCAUCUGGGGUUCUCUCCAGUGCACUUUUCCAGUUCAGGCCAGCAUCAGUUUUCGCCGGGGGAUAAAGGCAGCGGGAAUGUGGCUCUCUUCGGGGAGUGUUAUAGCCCGCUGUGUAAUACCCUGGUGGGGACUGAGGUUCGCGCUUCUGCAAGGAUGCUGGCGUAAUGGUCAUCAACGACCCGUCUUGAAACACGGACCAAGGAGUCGUCUUUGUAUGCGAGUGUUCGGGUGUCAAAACCCCUACGCGUAAUGAAAGUGAACGCAGGUGAGAGCUUCGGCGCAUCAUCGACCGAUCCUGAUGUUCUCGGAUGGAUUUGAGUAAGAGCAUACGGGGCCGGACCCGAAAGAAGGUGAACUAUGCCCUGUAUAGGGUGAAGCCAGAGGAAACUCUGGUGGAGGCUCGCAGCGGUUCUGACGUGCAAAUCGAUCGUCAAAUAUGGGCAUGGGGGCGAAAGACUAAUCGAACCUUCUAGUAGCUGGUUUCCGCCGAAG